GGGGAGAUAGCUCAGUGCAAGAGCUCAGAUUUACACACUGAGGACCUGGGUUCAAGCCCCAGCAUCACCA
This 70-nucleotide transfer RNA is filed under the name Erinaceus europaeus (western European hedgehog). It matches the Rfam family "tRNA". Rfam says of the family: Transfer RNA (tRNA) molecules are approximately 80 nucleotides in length. Lineage: Eukaryota; Metazoa; Chordata; Mammalia; Eulipotyphla; Erinaceidae. The record is from Rfam by way of RNAcentral.